AGUACAUUGUGGUUUGUACAAUUUUAGCGAAUUGAAUUAUCCACGAGAGAUAAGUGAAUCUUUUGCUGAAAUGACUGAUAAUCAUGUGCUAGAAGCACAGUUUCAUCACCCACAUUUUGAAGAUGAUUCUCAAAAAAUGAAUGUCACAUUGUUUUUGAAUACUGAACACGACAAAAUUAAUAUUAACAAAAAAUGUUUUGAAGUAAUCAUGAAUCAGAUAACACAAAUCCAGAAUAAAUUGGAAGAAUGAUUUGUUGAGUAUUGCAAGGAAAACAAUGGACUUUAGUUUAAAAAGAGAAAAGUAAAGCAACAAGAAAACAAAAAGUUCUUCAAUUAACA
Long non-coding RNA from Aphis gossypii (cotton aphid), 339 nucleotides. RefSeq lists it as uncharacterized. The transcript has 3 exons. The record is from RefSeq and is a predicted model, not a curated record. Lineage: Eukaryota; Metazoa; Arthropoda; Insecta; Hemiptera; Aphididae.